AUGCUUGCUUCAGUAGCACAUAUGAUAAAUUGGAGUGAUAAAGAGCAGAUUAGCAUGGCCUUUUCACAAGGACGACAAAUUUCAGAAGAUUUUCAGAAUUUU
This is a small nuclear RNA of Ictidomys tridecemlineatus (thirteen-lined ground squirrel), 102 nucleotides long. NCBI's taxonomy places the organism in Eukaryota, Metazoa, Chordata, Mammalia, Rodentia, Sciuridae. The record is from Ensembl.